GAUGAACGCUGACAGAAUGCUUAACACAUGCAAGUCUUUGGCGAAGCUGUGCUUGCACAGCCUAGCCAAGGCGGACGGGUGAGUAACGCGUAAGGAACUUGCCCUGCAGUCAGGGAUAACAGACGGAAACGACUGAUAAGACCUGGUAAAGUCAGGCGGACUCAUGUCCAGCCUGAUGAAAAGUGAUGCUGCAGGAGAGCCUUGCGUCCUAUUAGCUUGUUGGUGGGGUAACGGCCCACCAAGGCGAUGAUAGGUAGCCGGCCUGAGAGGGUGGACGGCCACAAGGGGACUGAGAUACGGCCCUUACUCCUACGGGAGGCAGCAGUGGGGAAUAUUGGACAAUGGGGGCAACCCUGAUCCAGCAAUUCUGUGUGCACGAUGAAGGUUUUCGGAGUGUAAAGUGCUUUCAGCAGGGAAGAAAAAAAUGUCGGUACCUGCAGAAGAAGCGACGGCUAAAUACGUG
RNAcentral lists this ribosomal RNA (463 nucleotides) under uncultured bacterium. RNAcentral describes it as "partial 16S ribosomal RNA". It matches the Rfam family "Bacterial small subunit ribosomal RNA", at positions 28 to 507 of the family's 1533-position model. The record is from RNAcentral.